GAUGAACGCUGGCGGCGUGCCUAAUACAUGCGAGUCGAGCGAACAGACGAGGAGCUUGCUCCUCUGACGUUAGCGGCGGACGGGUGAGUAACACGUGGAUAACCUACCUAUAAGACUGGGAUAACUUCGGGAAACCGGAGCUAAUACCGGAUAAUAUAUUGAACCGCAUGGUUCAAUAGUGAAAGACGGUCUUGCUGUCACUUAUAGAUGGAUCCGCGCUGCAUUAGCUAGUUGGUAAGGUAACGGCUUACCAAGGCAACGAUGCAUAGCCGCCCUGAGAGGGUGAUCGGCCACACUGGAACUGAGACACGGCCCAGACUCCUACGGGAGGCAGCAGUAGGGAAUCUUCCGCAAUGGGCGAAAGCGUGACGGAGCAACGCCGCGUGAGUGAUGAAGGUCUUCGGAUCGUAAAACUCUGUUAUUAGGGAAGAACAAAUGUGUAAGUAACUAUGCACGUCUUGACGGUACCUAAUCAGAAAGCCACGGCUAACUACGUG
Molecule: ribosomal RNA, 497 nt
Filed under: uncultured bacterium
Lineage: Bacteria
Description: partial 16S ribosomal RNA
Rfam family: Bacterial small subunit ribosomal RNA
Source: RNAcentral